RNAcentral lists this ribosomal RNA (486 nucleotides) under uncultured bacterium. RNAcentral describes it as "partial 16S ribosomal RNA". It matches the Rfam family "Bacterial small subunit ribosomal RNA", at positions 30 to 507 of the family's 1533-position model. The record is from RNAcentral.
AUUGAACGCUGGCGGCAUGCCUUACACAUGCGAGUCGAACGGCAGCACGGGUGCUUGCACCUGGUGGCGAGUGGCGAACGGGUGAGUAAUACAUCGGAACAUGUCCUGUAGUGGGUGAUAGCCCGGCGAAAGCCGGAUUAAUACCGCAUACGAUCUACGGAUGAAAGCGGGGGACCUUCGGGCCUCGCGCUAUAGGGUUGGCCGAUGGCUGAUUAGCUAGUUGGUGGGGUAAAGGCCUACCAAGGCGACGAUCAGUAGCUGGUCUGAGAGGACGACCAGCCACACUGGGACUGAGACACGGCCCAGACUCCUACGGGAGGCAGCAGUGGGGAAUUUUGGACAAUGGGCGAAAGCCUGAUCCAGCAAUGCCGCGUGUGUGAAGAAGGCCUUCGGGUUGUAAAGCACUUUUGUCCGGAAAGAAAUCCUUGGCCCUAAUACGGUCGGGGGAUGACGGUACCGGAAGAAUAAGCACCGGCUAACUACGUG